This is a long non-coding RNA of Maniola jurtina (meadow brown), 536 nucleotides long. RefSeq lists it as uncharacterized. The record is from RefSeq and is a predicted model, not a curated record. The transcript has 3 exons. Lineage: Eukaryota; Metazoa; Arthropoda; Insecta; Lepidoptera; Nymphalidae.
UAAUGGAACAUCGAUAACGCUAUUUACGAAGAUCCUGGUAUUCCUACUGGUAGUAGGUAAUCGAAGUUUUACUAUUGACCAUGAAUUGAAUACGAAACCCAUGAAUCCCUCUGAAUUGAGAUGUGUUAAUUGUGGCAUCAAUGUAAAUCAAAGGAGUAGGCAUAGUAGCCUUGAAUUAAUAGAGAUUAUGUUAGUAAUAUAACACUGGAUUGCACCUCAAGUGGUGACUGAGACCACCAGUGUGCCUUUUUUGCUGGACUCCUAGUCACUCCAAUGGGACUAAUGAUGAUUAACCUACUAAUGAUGGUCACCGUUGUCGUCUUUGUAUUAGCUGUGGAUGCUCUUUGAUGAGAACAAGAUCUCACAGGCUACGUACUGACCUAAAACGGGAAAUAUGCAUAUAAAUCAUAAUAAUAGAGAUGAUUAUGCCAUAACAGCUGCAUGGAUCUGAUGAAAUCUGCCACCCCUGUUGACAAAGAAGUGAUCGAUUGAGAGCACAUGCUCUUGAAUCACUUCAACAGUUACUUACCAGUUAU